Molecule: long non-coding RNA, 1256 nt
Organism: Felis catus (domestic cat)
Lineage: Eukaryota; Metazoa; Chordata; Mammalia; Carnivora; Felidae
Exons: 4
Source: RefSeq, a predicted model, not a curated record
UCCAAGCACCUGUCAAUGAGGGAAGAGAGCAGAUAAAUGCUCAGCUGGCUCUAAGUAUCGUUCAUGUCCUGUGGCCACACCCCCCCCCCAAAGAAGCCUCCACCCUGCGAGCACCAGGGCCCAGCACUGCCAGCCACACCUUAUAAUGGGCCUUGCCAAGGGCCGACCGUAUGGAGAAGAAGGAAAAGAGGGUCUCAGGAGGCGUUUCUAGAAGAUGCUGCUUUUAAAAAGACACAGAUUCUGGGAACCGCUCUAGAUCUUAAGCAUCAGCGUCUCCGGGGGGAAUGCAAGGGGCCGAGGGAAUCUGCAUCCUUAACCAGCUUCUCAGACUCAACCCUCCAUGUAUCCCUGGCGUCCCGGUGGGAGUCCAUUCGUUCUGGACUUCUCCACCCUGGAUUCAUCUGUCUGCAUCGGCAGGACGUCCCUGGGGAUGAUUUGAGAGGAGCGACUCACAGGAGGUGUACACGGGCCAGCCCGCCCUGGGCGUGAAUGGCUCCAGGGAGCACGUCGCCUCCCCAGUCAGUCCCCGUAAUGUGUAACGAAGGCAGUUGUGACCAAGACAGAAGGAGAGGGUUUGCUCAGAAAAGAAGUCUCACGACCCGGCGGCGAAGAGCCUUCCCGAACUGACUCCAGUGUUCUUUGUGCACGAAACUGGCACCCUCCUCAGGGGUGGCAAACACGGGCACCAUCGUGGCACCCAACAUCAAACCAGAGACCGUGCUCAGCUGUCUGGUGGACACGAGCUCAGGGUCCUACAAAGCGACCCCUGGCAGAGUGGGAACAGCACAGGCUGAGGCUGAGGACAUCGCGAGGCUCUGCCCCAUCAACUCUCCAACCCGGACAGGAGCCCCUCGGGGCAACCGCGUCACCCCUUGCUGUGGCCGUCCUGUGUGGAGCCACGGGGAACACGGAUAGAUAUGCCACGAAAGUAACACGCCUUCCAGAAGAAGAAAAUGAUCCCUGUAGAGGAGGCACCAGAGUCAAAAGGUGCGAAAAGUUUGGAAGAGACUUACUGAAAGAUUGCUGGGUACAAAAGAAGCAAAGAGCAAUUCGCGAGCAGAGGGUGAAAGGAGAGAGACUCCAGACGUGCGGGGCUGACCCAGCACAUGGAAAGCCAGCCUGCUGGGGCUGCUAGAAACUUCCUGCAGCCUGAUCUCGCUGGGGGCCUAAGCAAAGGGGUGAGCGCGGUCAGGUGCAAGCAAGAUCAACCCCCCUCCCGCCCCCCAUGCCCUGAGCCAGCAGCCUUCAGGGUACAA